Molecule: ribosomal RNA, 254 nt
Filed under: uncultured bacterium
Lineage: Bacteria
Description: partial 16S ribosomal RNA
Rfam family: Bacterial small subunit ribosomal RNA
Source: RNAcentral
UACGGGGGGAGCAAGCGUUGUUCGGAUUUACUGGGCGGAAAGGGCGCGUAGGCGGCCAGCACAGGUCAGUUGUGAAAUCUCCGAGCUUAACUCGGAAAGGUCAACUGAUACUGUGCGGCUAGAGUGCGGAAGGGGCAACUGGAAUUCUUGGUGUAGCGGUGAAAUGCGUAGAUAUCAAGAGGAACACCUGCGGCGAAGGCGGGUUGCUGGGCCGACACUGACGCUGAGGCGCGAAAGCCAGGGGAGCGAACGGG